ACGUGGCCUCCUCACUUCUCCGUGGCUUUCGCCUCUGGGGACGGGACUGGGGGAGACAGGCACUUCCCAAGGCGGAGGUUCUGAGGUCGGGAAGUGGGCCCCAGGUAUCCUAUAACCCUCAAGCUCCCCAAGAAGGCUGUUCUAACGUUUUAACCUAAGGGGAGAAAUGCCUGGAAACAAAAGGAAGAGACACCACCCAGUAAAAGCCACCCUCAACAUGAUAAAAAGAUGUGUGCGAUUGAAUGCUAUAUCCUUUUCUUUAAAAAAGGAACAUCAAGUGUCCCUCUGCUGCCACGCCUCCCAGAGACUUUUUGCAGGGAGGAGAGAGGUCUUAAGAACCAAACAGGAAAUCUAAUGCUCUGUGGAGAACCCUCUGAGCAAUGGAUUUGCACACUUUAAACCAGCGGAAAAUCUGCACACAGAGGUAAACAGAAAAAGGAGUUGGCAAAGCCCAAGCCCCUCCCGAGGCCAGAGGUGUCCCUGCCAGGGUUGAGGACAGAGGCAUCCCUGUCCUGUGCUCUGGGGUGGGCCACACUCCCGUGGGGACGUUCCCAGCCACCCCAUGCACUUGUUCAGGCAUCUGCCCUCCCCAUAGGAGGAAGGCCACCCAACAGGUCACCCUCUGCCACGUGCCUGCCCUACUCAGUGCGAUGUGCACAGUAGGUGUUCAAGGUAAUGAGUAAUGCAGGCCCCUUGGAGACAUCUGGCCAACACAGAAGGUAUCACAUUUUCAAUUUUGAAAAGCCAAAGUGAAUGUCAUGUUUCCAUAUGUUCACAAAAAAAAAAUGUAUUCACACAUGUUCCUGGCAGUGUUUUCCAUAACAUCCAAAUGUUCAUCAAUGAAUGAAUGGAUAAACAAAAUGUGGUAUAUCCAUACAAUGGAAUAAUACUCAGCCAUGUACAGGAGCAAAACCUUGAUACCUGUUACAACAGGGAUGAGCCUGGAAAACACGCAAAGUGAAAGAAGCCAGACACAAAGAACUAUAUAUAAUGUGUGGCCCCAUUUAUAGGAAAUAUCUGGAACAAGCAGAUGGAUAGGGAAAGGAGGUAGAUUCAUGGUUGCCAGGAGCUAGGGGAGGGCAGGAAAGGAAAACCAAGGCACAGGCUGCCCUCCAUGCUCUCACUUCUCUACGGCUGUCACUUCUGGGGACCAGGACAGAUCCAGAGACAGACGCUACCCAAGGGAAGGAGGAAUGGGGCAACAGCUAGUGGACACGGGGUUCCUUUUCGUGUGAAGAAAACAUUGUUGAAUUAGACUGAUGGUUGCACAAACUUUGUGAAUAUACGAAAAGCCACUUAAUUGUAUACUUUGGGUGAAUUCUGUAAUAUGUGAAUUAUAUGUGAACAAAAUACAGUGUUUUUAGUGAAACUAACGUUUCUCAUCUGAAUUAGAAUAUAUGUGCCAGCUCCAUCUGUACUAAGGAAAUAUCUUCCAGGGCCGGAGUGCCGUUUAGAAUAAAGAUGUGUCCAGUGCCUGUGUAAAAGCACAGGGCUCCGCACAGGUGUGAACAAGACAGAGCCCAGCAGUGGGGGAAGGGCCUGGUGUGGGGAAUCGAUUCCCAUUCAGGGAGCAUAACUCUGUUUCCCAACAUUAUUACCCUUUUCAAUCUCCAUGGAGGCAUUUUUAACUCCUGGUUUUUCAGGCUGCAUAAAGAAGAAAAGGAAUGUUCUAAGGCAGAGACGCUUUAAAGACAUCACCAAGAUUAAUGUAAACACUGGAAUCCCCAAAAGCACAGCCCUUGAACACAGCAUGCUGGAUUAUGUGUCUCCUAUAAAACCGUCCUAUUUCCACAUAGGGGUUCCCAAAUGCCAAGGUGUACUGGGACCAGAAGGCCAUCGUGUCCUCAUCUGACCUCCUUCUUGCCACGGCAGCCCCCAACCCAGCCCUGGGCCUCCCCCCUCACAGCCCCAUGCCCAGCUGGCACUCCUUGGCCUGGAACUCCUCAACGCCUGCUGCUCAGCCUCCAGGGGUACAGCCUCUACGGCCACCUCCCAACCAUCUCCCCAGGGCGCCCCUCCUCUCAAAUCUGCCAGCGCCUCAUCUGCUCCUCUUGUCAUCGGAUGGAGUGCCUUCUCCAUUUUGACUAUUUUAUUAACUUUUCCAUGUCCCGCUUCAUUCCCGCAAGACCUCAAGUCAGUGUGAUAGCAAAUGUGGCUUCUGCACCAGACACGUGCCAACUGCCAUCCAGAUACCAGGCCCCGGGCUGCCAGGAUGGAGACUGUCACUUCCCUUGGCAAGGGACCCACUGCCGGGUGGGCAGGUAUGUCACCCCACCUGAUACCCCCACCAUGAGCGCCUAUGAGAACCAGUAGCUUCCCCGCCUCUCAGUAUCACCUACUGUGUCCAGGUAGGAGAACACUGGGAGCCAGGGGCAGAUUCCAAACCAUGUUGAUGGCGAGCUUCCACAGCACGCCACACCUUCACAUAAGACACCGUGCUCACACUACGCUUGUCCUACAGAUCAUUCCCGCCAGCUGGCAUUUUGCAAAUACACAGGAAAGGCGAAUCACCGAUGUUGGUGGACUCUGGGGUGGUGAGGAAGGGGAGCAGUCCCCUGGUGAACACGGGGCUCGGGCACGUGGCAGGUGUUCACUAUCAUGGUGCCACAGCAAAGCCAGGGCAUGGCCUGGAACCCAGUCCUUGGGGUUGUACAUACCAAAUGCCAGCUUCCCUGGGCAGUGGGCAUGUGAAGCUGCAGCCCAAUACCCUCCGUGGUGUCUGCCGGUGACACGUUUCUCUCCCUUACAGGGUAUUAAGACUCAGUGGACUUCUGAAACAAUCACCACCCUAGCCUAUGGCCUGUUUACAGUCUUUAGUUUGGGACAGGCCACAGCCUGAUGCCAAGCAUGUGGUAAAGCAGUCUCGAUGCCACCUGUCCUGAAGGCUGUUCCAUCGUAAGAGCCCUGGAGGAGCCGCCACCCUCAGUCCCACACCAUCUCCUGGACCCACUCCAAGCUGUUUUCAGAAGCACGUCCUACUCAAUCAGAAACUCAAAAGUCCGGAGUGUGAUCCCGCUCUACCCCCGACUCUCCUCCCUGCAGCACCGAGAAGGACCAUCGCAAGGGUGAGGCACAUGGGAAUACAAAGAACCAGUAUGGAAGCGCUGGACAUGUCAUUUGUGACUCAUUCUUUUAAUUCACCGUGCUAAUCAACUGAACCGCCACAGCCUCCCAAGGUAAUUGUGUCUUUAUAGGAGUUGAAAGCAGCAGGCAAAAGGGCCUGGAUGGAUGGGGCCUGGCCUGCCUUCCCCUUCCCACUCGGGGUUGACUAAUAGGGUCUGGUUCAGAAAAAUCUGGUGUUUCUCAGAUCACUGUAAACAGAUCAUUGAGGCCCUUUGCAAAGCCCCUCCCAGCCUCUGGCGGGCGGCCCCUCCUCUGAGCACAGGUUCAUUAGCCCUCCGCCUGGCGGCCCCAGCCGGCCUCACGUGGGGAAGGUUAAAUGUGAGGGUGUCCCGGCAGCCUCCGGGGCUGGGGGACACUGAUGGGAACCAGACGCCCAGGGGACGGUGCCUACGUCGUGACAUGCAAAGGGGCUGGCUCAGUUUUCAGCGGGGGAGUGCAAUUCCCGGUGAUUACCUCAUUGUCCCCAUCAAUUUUGGGGCAAUGCAAAUCAGACAGAAGCUUCCAGGUCAGACAGGUCAUGACCCUACCUUUCCUCUGCUCCCCAGCCUGUAGAGCCUGUAUCCCUUACAUCACCUUUGAAAUGGAUAUUCCUGUUAAUGACUGGGGUGUGGGGGAGCCAAUAGGUUAACCUCCAGCCAGGAAAGGCUGGGCUGUGGCAAGCAUCACCAAACACCCACUCAUGGGAGCAUGUCUCGAUGGAGGAAAUCCCUGAAGCUUCGGGCAGCCAGGACCCUGAGCUUGUGCCUGAGAAGCCCAGUCAGCCCCAGAGUGGGCACAAUAUGGGCUGCAGAUAUAGAAGGUGGGCACUUGGACAGGCUGGGUGGGGGCUGGAACUAAGGGGUCCACUGGUCCCUUAGUAGGAGGAUAUGAGACCUGGAGAGGAUAUCCCUGGCCAAGGAAGGCAUCCUACCUGGCUGGAGGGCAACAGGAACAGGCUACAGACAGGAGAGAGCUGCCCCCUCCCUGCACCAGCCCCAGAGCAGCAAAAGCAGGGCCCGGCCAUGCUGGGAAUUGGGGGGACGCUGACAUCACAGGCUCCGCCACACCAUGUGAUACCUGCCAGCCAGUGACAGGCAGCUCCUCCCACCCUACACAUCCGCAACUGUCUCCAAAUGCACAGCCCAAGGCCUUUCUCUGCAGCACUGGGGACAGAAUCCCCAGGAGACAGCAGGCAAAGUGCAAAGAAAGGACUGGACCUUUCAGCAAUCUUCUUUCUUAAAAAAGUCUCAUUUCUAACAAUAGCUGUGCAGACUUCCCCACCAAAAAGCCCACAUAUGCAAAGAUCUGAACUCAUGAAAGGAUCCACUGAAGGCAUCCACUAAAGCAUUCAUCCGGGAUGGGCUGACAGUCCAGUGUAAGAACAGGGGGCUUAUUCAUCCAUUUUUGUGCAGAGGAAGUCAGUCUUGCCACAUGCAAACACAUGUCACUUUCAUGUCACAAACCAGGACCCCGCAGCAGACACAGGCACCUACACAGGAGCCCACCCCUGCCAUGUGCCCGCCGAAGCUCAGGUGCUGCUCCAUGGCUCACAAGCAAUAAUCAACACCCGCUUUCCUAAGGAGCUCAGGACUCGAGCAGAGUCCCACAGAACCCAGCCGAAGUUCACCCUCAGUGACUUUCCACAGGAAGGACCAUUUAUGGAGUGCCUGCCAUGUGUUAGACACUGUACAUAAGUCAUCCCCGAUCCUUGCCAAAACCUUGCCAGAUAGAGCAGAGGAGAAAUUGGGACCACAGGAGUAAGCAUAUGCCCAGGUCCCAGUCUGUCUGCAAACACCAGGUCUUUGCACGGGGCCUACAGCCUCUACAGCCAGAUGUGCCAAGGGACUCAGGGGCAUGUGGUACACAUACCAACAGUUUGCACAGGAGGCAUGUGGAAAUGUGCACCGUGUGGCUUCAGCACACACCGGCAAGGUGCCAGAAAGGACCCCCCAGCCCACGGUGGGAUUCUGACAUCUCGCCUUUCCCAGGUACCUGGGGCCUACAGAUGCUGCACUUUGUUGCACAGCAAAAGUUCUUAAUUGUUGAAGUGUAUAUAAGUGUUUAAAAGGUUCCCCAAUUUUUUGAACCCCAUUGUGACAUGUCUUUAUUUUUUUAAAACACUGGGAUUCCAAAACCUAGAGGAGCAGCCCUCUCUCCAUCUCAGAGUCUUACAUGGAAGCCAAGAGGUGUCCGGACAUCAGCUCUUUGCUAUGCCCACCUCCCCUGUGGUCUUCUGGCAGCUCCUGAGCGCCUGGUCCUGUGUGUGCUGGUCCCACAGAAGGUGGCCCCUAGUGUGGGGCAGGCACUGCCUCUCCCAUCCUAACCACAUGGAGAGUGCUGAGCUGUCGACUGGACACCUCUGGGACAGCAGCCCUGGCCUGCCACCAAGACCCAUCCAGGCACACCCUGGGGUGACGCUGGGCCUGAUGUACAGUGGGCAGCGGCAGGAUUUAUAUCUUGCCUUUCUUGCUCACUCCGUCCUUCCUAAGAAGGGAAGAGGCUGAAGGACGUCUAUUGCCUCUUUAAACCUUCUGAAAGCAGAGGGGGCUUAGCAUCCUCCAUGUCACCCGCUCUCUGGACAGAGGAGAGGACUGUGUCCCAUUGGGCGUCCUUCAGGUGGUGAUGGCAGGAGUUGAAGCCCCAUCCUCUAGUCCAGGUUCCUGCUGUGGUCCUCAUGGCCACCCCAGGACACCAGGCCACAGUCACCCAGCCACUGCACAUGCAGGUCAAGCCCACAGAUAGUAAGUAUUCAUCUUGCUCACUGUCACUCGGUUCCAGCAGGCACUGUCCAUCAUUAAAAACAUCUCUCAAAUGUCACAGCCUUUGGAGUUGGCUAAGAUUAGAAAUCAAAAUGCAAACAUGCCUUAAGUUGAAGUGAGUUGUUUGUUUUGAGAUAGGGUCUUGCUUUGUCACCCAGGCUGAAGUCCAGUAGCUCAAUCAAGGUUCACUGCA
This 6054-nucleotide long non-coding RNA is filed under the name Homo sapiens (human). RNAcentral describes it as "HSALNT0360664". The record is from RNAcentral. Lineage: Eukaryota; Metazoa; Chordata; Mammalia; Primates; Hominidae.